GCACAUGAGUUGGGGCAUUGGAAGCUAAACCAUACAAUGUACUCAUUCAUUGCUUUACAGAUUCUUACACUUUUGCAAUUUGGGGGAUAUACCUUGGUGAGGAAUUCCAGUGAUUUGUUUCGAAGUUUUGGGUUUGAUACUCAGCCAGUGCUUAUUGGACUCAUCAUAUUUCAGCACACUGUAAUACCUCUCCAGCACCUGGUAAGCUUUGGUCUCAACCUUGUGAGCCGAUCUUUUGAGUUCCAGGCUGAUGCCUUUGCAAAGAAACUUGGUUAUUCCGCAGCUCUUCGUGCUGGUCUUGUCAAACUGCAGGAGGAAAAUUUGUCUGCAAUGAAUACAGAUCCCUGGUAUUCAGCAUAUCACUAUUCUCAUCCU
RNAcentral lists this unclassified non-coding RNA (375 nucleotides) under Hevea brasiliensis (rubber tree). The record is from RNAcentral. Lineage: Eukaryota; Viridiplantae; Streptophyta; Magnoliopsida; Malpighiales; Euphorbiaceae.